GAUGAAGAACGUAGCGAAAUGCGAUAAGUAAUGUGAAUUGCAGAAUUCAGUGAAUCAUCGAAUCUUUGAACGCACAUUGCGCCCGUCAGUAUUCUGGCGGGCAUGCCUGUUCGAGCGUCAUUACGCCCCUCAAGUCCCCUGUGGACUUGGUGUUGGGGAUCGGCGAGGCUGGUUUUCCAGCACAGCCGUCCCUUAAAUUAAUUGGCGGUCUCGCCGUGGCCCUCCUCUGCGCAGUAGUAAAACACUCGCAACAGGAGCCCGGCGCGGUCCACUGCCGUAAAACCCCCCAACUUUUUAUAGUUGACCUCGAAUCAGGUAGAACUACCCGCUGAACUUAAGCAUAUCAAUAAGCGGAGGA
RNAcentral lists this unclassified non-coding RNA (358 nucleotides) under soil metagenome. RNAcentral's name for it is "partial contains 5.8S ribosomal RNA, internal transcribed spacer 2, and large subunit ribosomal RNA". The stretch from base 1 to 120 matches the Rfam family "5.8S ribosomal RNA", at positions 35 to 154 of the family's 154-position model. The record is from RNAcentral.